This 242-nucleotide unclassified non-coding RNA is filed under the name Curvularia sp. Its description in RNAcentral is "partial internal transcribed spacer region". The stretch from base 1 to 46 matches the Rfam family "Eukaryotic small subunit ribosomal RNA", at positions 1786 to 1831 of the family's 1831-position model. RNAcentral also lists the same sequence under 1 other name. The record is from RNAcentral. Lineage: Eukaryota; Fungi; Ascomycota; Dothideomycetes; Pleosporales; Pleosporaceae.
AAGUCGUAACAAGGUCUCCGUAGGUGAACCUGCGGAGGGAUCAUUACACAAUUAGAAUAUGAAGGCCCUUCAAACCGGCUGGAUUAUUUUUAUUCACCCUUGUCUUUUGCGCACUUGUUGUUUCCUGGGCGGGUUCGCUCGCCACCAGGACCACAUCAUAAACCUUUUUUGUUAAUGCAAUCAGCGUCAGUAUAACAAAUGUAAAUCAUUUACAACUUUCAACAACGGAUCUCUUGGUUCUG